ACGCUCGACACCUACGGGAGCCAGCAGUGGGGAAUAUUGCACAAUGGGGGAAACCCUGAUGCAGCGACGCCGCGUGAGCGAAGAAGUAUUUCGGUAUGUAAAGCUCUAUCAGCAGGGAAGAAAUUGACGGUACCUGACUAAGAAGCACCGGCUAAAUACGUGCCAGCAGCCGCGGUAAUCUGAGCGGGCUGGCAAGGC
RNAcentral lists this ribosomal RNA (198 nucleotides) under uncultured bacterium. Its description in RNAcentral is "partial 16S ribosomal RNA". It matches the Rfam family "Bacterial small subunit ribosomal RNA", at positions 328 to 539 of the family's 1533-position model. The record is from RNAcentral.